UAAGUGUAGUGAUACAUUGAGCUAACAGAUACUAAUUGCCCGAGAGGCUUAACUAUACAACGCUCAAG
Molecule: ribosomal RNA, 68 nt
Filed under: Haemophilus influenzae
Lineage: Bacteria; Pseudomonadati; Pseudomonadota; Gammaproteobacteria; Pasteurellales; Pasteurellaceae
Description: partial 23S ribosomal RNA
Source: RNAcentral